Camelina sativa (false flax) is the source of this 724-nucleotide non-coding RNA. NCBI's taxonomy places the organism in Eukaryota, Viridiplantae, Streptophyta, Magnoliopsida, Brassicales, Brassicaceae. The record is from RefSeq and is a predicted model, not a curated record.
CUUUCACAAGCUUUGUAAUACCUUCUAGGAAUUCCUCACUUCCCUUCUUUCGCAGAUCUCCAGUUUCCUGUAACAAUUUUUCCCAGACAUAAUGACAGUUUUUCAGGUUGGAGUUCCCUCUCCAAUACAAGACUAACCACAGCUUGCGAGCCUGAAGAAACCAUGAAGUUAAGACAUUUCUUGAUUGAUUCUAAUGAGCAACCGACUCUAGCAAAUCCGAAAGUUGAAUUUGAAUGGGUAAAGCAAACGAGGAGGUCCAAAUUGUUACGGUAUGUGAUGGUAUAGUUCAAUGGAAGAUAAGAAAGUAGUUGUAGUUACCUGACUGAGACAAGCAGCUAGAGAGACGGCUUUCUUUGCAGCGGCUAGCUCCUUCUCAUAAGACAUUGAAAAGCUUCAAGACUUCGCAGAUGUUAUAGUCCAAGACUCGAAGGGAGGACAUAGUCAACACUGAUAUAUAAAAUAGAGUUUCGUGCGGGACGGAGUUAGUGGUGCAAACCGUCUUCCACGUAAUGCCAGAACAAGUUGACGUUUAAAAAGAAGAAAAUUAAAAGAUAAGGAAUUAUAGAAUAUGUAGACGUAAUAUUAUCAUUUAGAAUAUUUCACGGAUUUUUGUAUCGAUUUGCAUAUUGUAAUAAUAGUCGUUAGAAAACAAGAGUGGUCAUUGUCCAUAGAUCGUUAAACACUAAACAAAUUGGAUAAUCAAUACACUAAUAAGCUCUCUCUA